GGAUGAACGCUAGCUACAGGCUUAACACAUGCAAGUCGAGGGGAAACGGCAUCGAAAGCUUGCUUUUGAUGGGCGUCGACCGGCGCACGGGUGAGUAACGCGUAUCCAACCUGCCCAUCACUUGGGAAUAACCUUGCGAAAGUAAGACUAAUGCCCAAUGACAUCCCACGAAGGCAUCCGAAUGGGAUUAAAGAUUUAUCGGUGAUGGAUGGGGAUGCGUCUGAUUAGCUUGUUGGCGGGGUGACGGCCCACCAAGGCAACGAUCAGUAGGGGUUCUGAGAGGAAGGUCCCCCCCAUUGGAACUGAGACACGGACCAAACUCCUACGGGAGGCAGCAGUGAGGAAUAUUGGUCAAUGGGCGAGAGCCUGAACCAGCCAAGUAGCGUGCAGGAUGACGGCCCUAUGGGUUGUAAACUGCUUUUAUAAGGGAAUAAAGUGGGUCACGUGUGACUUUUUGCAUGUACCUUAUGAAUAAGGACCGGCUAAUUCCGUG
Molecule: ribosomal RNA, 493 nt
Filed under: uncultured bacterium
Lineage: Bacteria
Description: partial 16S ribosomal RNA
Rfam family: Bacterial small subunit ribosomal RNA
Source: RNAcentral